RNAcentral lists this ribosomal RNA (491 nucleotides) under Blastocystis sp. RNAcentral describes it as "SSU rRNA". It matches the Rfam family "Eukaryotic small subunit ribosomal RNA", at positions 460 to 953 of the family's 1831-position model. The record is from RNAcentral. Lineage: Eukaryota; Bigyra; Opalinata; Blastocystidae.
GGAGGUAGUGACAAUAAAUCUCAAUACGAAGCCUUUGGUUUUGUAAUUGAAUUGAGAACAAUGUACAAUCGUUAUCGAUAAACAAUUGGAGGGCAAGUCUGGUGCCAGCAGCCGCGGUAAUUCCAGCUCCAAUAGCGUAUAUUAACGUUGUUGCAGUUAAAAAGCUCGUAGUUGAAGUUUAGGUGGUUUGAAGGGGGUGUUAGUAUUCGUACUAUCUGCUCUCUUUGGAUUAUCGACUUCCAGGUAAGUAUAAUGUACCUUUCGGGGUUCGUUAUACCAGACUGGUCUUUUACUGUGAGAAAAUUAGAGUGUUUAAAGCAGACUUUUAUUUAGUUUGAAUAGAUUAGCAUGGAAUAAUAAGAUUGGCUUUCAUAGUCGAUUUUUUGGUUUGUUUAUGAAAGCAAGAUUAAUAGGGACAGUUGGGGGUAUUCAUAUUCAAUAGCUAGAGGUGAAAUUCUAUGAUUUAUGGAAGAUGAACAAGUGCGAAAGCA